Molecule: long non-coding RNA, 687 nt
Filed under: Anser brachyrhynchus (Pink-footed goose)
Lineage: Eukaryota; Metazoa; Chordata; Aves; Anseriformes; Anatidae
Description: lncRNA (ENSABRG00000003059.1)
Source: RNAcentral
UGGAGUUGUAGCGUGCUUAUAGAUUUGGUUGCAAAGAUUAACUGUUUCGAUAUAUACUGACAGGUAUUUGAGCCUUUCAAAGUCGCUGCUGAGUCACUAAAGUGAAAACUGAAUGAUACUCACGUGGAAAGUUUAAGGUUGUAUUUUCUUCCUUGACUUCAGACUUCAACUUUUUAGGGCUCGACAUCUCUUUCGAUGAUGGAUGUUGUGACAGUCUUUUGACGCUUUCCGUAGGACUAUAACCAAGAUUUAUCAUAAUAGUAGCCCUAAAAAUCGAGAGAGAAGUAUAAAUGCAUUUUUGUGCAACACCUGCUGUAGCCUGUGACUGAGAAAUCACUGUGUAGAAUGUAUAUGGAGAUACCAUCCCUGAUUUGGGAAAUUCUGAGCAACAAACAGAGGAAGCCUUUUAAAAGCACCUGGGGAACGUAUCAUGAGGGAAAUAAAAGAUACCGAAAACUGCAGUGCUGUGAAAGGGGAUGGCUUUCAGGAGAUGCUACGGCAGAGGAGUACGUUGCCAGGGUAACAGAGUGUAAGCAGGAGAACAGCACCUUGCAGAUCACAAAGGCAAAUCUGCAGAAAGAAAUUUCAAGCACAACAGUAAGAAAACACUUGGAGCUGAAGCUGACCACGCAAGAGAAGAGCUGCAUGCAAGACAGGACUACAGCGUUCUUAGCAAAUUGGGCAUGA